AGAGUUUGAUCAUGGCUCAGAACGAACGCUGGCGGCAGGCCUAACACAUGCAAGUCGAACGCCCCGCAAGGGGAGUGGCAGACGGGUGAGUAACGCGUGGGAACGUGCCCUAAGGUACGGAACAACUCCGGGAAACUGGAGCUAAUACCGUAUGUGCCCGAAAGGGGAAAGAUUUAUCGCCUUAGGAUCGGCCCGCGUCUGAUUAGCUAGUUGGUAGGGUAACGGCCUACCAAGGCUACGAUCAGUAGCUGGUCUGAGAGGAUGAUCAGCCACACUGGGACUGAGACACGGCCCAGACUCCUACGGGAGGCAGCAGUGGGGAAUAUUGGACAAUGGGCGCAAGCCUGAUCCAGCCAUGCCGCGUGAGUGAUGAAGGCCCUAGGGUUGUAAAGCUCUUUCGGCGGGGACGAUAAUGACGGUACCCGCAGAAGAAGCCCCGGCUAACUUCGUGCCAGCCGCCGCGGUAAUAC
RNAcentral lists this ribosomal RNA (470 nucleotides) under uncultured bacterium. RNAcentral describes it as "bacterial SSU rRNA". It matches the Rfam family "Bacterial small subunit ribosomal RNA", at positions 8 to 526 of the family's 1533-position model. The record is from RNAcentral.